UACAGAGGUCCCGAGCGUUGUUCGGAUUCACUGGGCGUAAAGGGUGCGUAGGUGGCUUGAAAAGUUUGAUGUGAAAGCUCAGGGCUUAACCCUGAAAUGGCAUUGAAUACUAUCGGGCUGGAGGUUUGGAGGGGGGACUGGAAUUCUUGGUGUAGCAGUGAAAUGCGUAGAUAUCAAGAGGAACACCAGUGGCGAAGGCGAGUCCCUGGACAACACCUGACACUGAGGCACGAAGGCCAGGGGAGCAAACGGG
Molecule: ribosomal RNA, 253 nt
Filed under: uncultured bacterium
Lineage: Bacteria
Description: partial 16S ribosomal RNA
Rfam family: Bacterial small subunit ribosomal RNA
Source: RNAcentral